GACCUACUAAUAGUGCCCACCUCAGGGGGUGCUGAAGGAACAAAACAGUGGAUUUCUACACUGUAGUGGAUUUCAACAAAGCAUGUCAGGUAGUCUGGCACACAGCAGGAGCUAAAUGAACAUGACUGUGAUGACCAAGCGUCUCUGAACACAUGGUAAGUGUUGUGGUGAAUCCUCCUCAGGACCCUCUUCAGAGGUGAGCAGCAGUGGCUUUCCUGACUCCCUCUUCCCAGGGGCCACAUGGUAGUCAUUUCAGGCCCUCUGUCCAAGGGCCCACUGAGCUGAAUGACCAACCCUUCCCUUCUCCCGCAUACCCUGAGGAAGGGAGAUACACUUCAGUGCCUCACCCCCAGCCCUGCCUGUAAGGCAUCAUGGUGUGG
RNAcentral lists this long non-coding RNA (380 nucleotides) under Pan troglodytes (chimpanzee). Its description in RNAcentral is "long non-coding RNA NONPTRT012093". Lineage: Eukaryota; Metazoa; Chordata; Mammalia; Primates; Hominidae. The record is from RNAcentral.